RNAcentral lists this long non-coding RNA (2836 nucleotides) under Mus musculus (house mouse). Its description in RNAcentral is "long non-coding RNA chrX:134975767-134978603". The record is from RNAcentral. Lineage: Eukaryota; Metazoa; Chordata; Mammalia; Rodentia; Muridae.
AAAAAAAAUAUCUAUUUUUGUGGGAAUUUAAAUCAGUGUGGCUACUAUGGACCUCUAUAGGGAGUUUCCUCAAAAACUAAAUGUAUAACUACCAUAUGAUCCAACUAUAUUACUCCUAAACAUAUAGCCCAAGGAAUCCUAGGUGGCCUACAAGAAGAGAUGCCUACACAGCAAUACUUGAUGCAAUACCAUUUACAAUAACCAUCCUAUACAAUAGUUUAGGUGACCAUAAGCAGGUAAAGAAUGCCUUGUGAUGUGUAAAGAAACACUGUUAUGAAGAAAAUUAAAAAUCAUAUUGUUUGCUGAAAAAAAUCCUGGGGAGUAUGAUAUUAAGUUAAAUACGCCAGACCCAGAAAGUCAAGUAUUGACUGUUUUCUUUCAUAUGUGAGAUCUAGACAGUUUUUUAAAUUUCCAUAGCAGUAAAAGGGGAACAAUUAGGGAGGAUAUUAGGAUAAUAGGAGAAUGAAUAUGAUCAAGUGUGUUUUAUAGAUACAUGAAGAUGUUGCCAUAGAACUAAUUAUUUUAUCUAAGAAAUACAUGCUUAUAAAAAAAAUCAGUCCUACGGUAAAUGGUGGAUGGACAUAAGAGUGGAAAUGUCUUAUGCUACUGUAAUAUUACAAAUGUUAAUGCAUGUUGGUAUACUGUGGCUAAUCAACUUUAAUAACCAUUGCCAUAAUAAACUGUCUGAAUGGCAUUUUUAGAAAUCAGUUAUUUUGUAGACAUACAGAUGUGAUAGGUUAUUUAUUUAAAAUCCCAAAGUUUUCUUUCUAAUGUGUAAAGUGUAUUUUCAUCUGCUGAGUCUGACAAUUUCACUCCUGUCGUAGACUGGAUAAGAAUGGCUUCAAUAGGUUCAUGUUUGAAUACUUGGUCCCCAGUUGAUGAAAAGUUAUUUGAAAAGGUAUAGGAGGCGUGUCCUUGUUGGAGGAGGGGUAUCCCUGCAGGAAGAAUUUAAGGUUUCAAAAGACUUUGACCAUCCCCACUGUUAUCUCUGCCUCCUACUUGCAGAUCAUGAACUCUCAGCUGUUGCUAUCAGACUUUGGUUUCAUCAUCAUGGAUUCUUAUCCCUCUGAAACUGUUAAGCCCAAUUAAAUGCUUUAUUUUAUAAGUUCCCUUGAUAAUGGUAUUUUAUCAUAGCAAUAGAAAAGUAACUCAGACAGCUCCUAAAUACUCAUAUCCAAACACUAUAAAUACUUUCUUAUAGGAUAAAAUAACACAUUUUAUGUUCUGAUUUCAAAAUCAACAAACUAAUUUAUACAAAAUAUAAAUGACCCUUUCCCCUACUACCAAAAUUACUUUGCAAUUGUCCACUAAUUUCUCCUCUUCUUAAAACCAUACAUUAAUAUUGACUAAAAAUGGCUCAUGACCUCUAUUUUUAACUAUUAUACUCCAAUGUAUUCAAUUCCCAGCAACCACGUGGUGGCUCAAAACCAUCUGUAAUGAGAUCAGAUUUCCUCUCUGGUGUGUCUGAAGACAGCUACAGUGUACUCACAUACAAUAAAUAAAAUAAAUCUUUUGUUUUUUAAAAAAGAUGAUGACUAGAUCACAGAAUCCUUGGAAUUAAGAAAACAUUUUGAGAUGCUUUGAAUUUGCAUGGCUAGCCUGAAGAAAUGAUCUGUUAGCACAUCUACAAAGAAAACAUAAUGUUGUCUAUUUAGAAGGAGUACUAAUUUAACAGACAGAUCUGUCAGUUCAUUACUGUGUAAAAUAUCCUUGGCAUUAGCAUAUAGAAUGCUACAAGUACCACUUACCACUUCUAGAUUCAGGUCAUAGGAAAAUGACUAUCUAGAAAGUUUGUAAAAUAUAUUAAAGAGUAUUUGACUGGAAGCUUUGGUCUUUGGUAACAUGAGAAUGCCUUUCUUGUACAAGAGAAAAACACUUACUUAAUUUGAUGUUCAGUUCCUUGCAUGUGGGACCGGAACAUAUGUAAAGAUGUAAAGGUGAUACUGCAGAUAUGGCAUACGUAGGUUCUCAUUCUAUAUGCUAUAAAAUGAGAGAAUUUAAAAACAUCAAUAUGGAAACUCUUCAAAUCAGAUACUGUCAGUGAUAGAUAAGAAUUUAUUAGAAACCCUCUACCUGAAGCUUUUCAAGAAAAAUUGGUCCCAAAAGAUAAAAUAAUUUGCUGGUGGUGAUGGGAGCAAAGAGUAGAGUUAGCAUCUUGGAGCUCAAGUCUCUAAAUUUAAUGCCUAGAAUUCUUCACACUUACACUACAGGCAUAGUCUUUGUUUAUUUCUUAAUCAUCUGCUACCUGCGUUGCUCACUGUUGCUAUAUAUACUGUAUAGCAGGGACCUCAAACGACGUGGCUAACAAACGUAUUAUUCCUAGUUCUGCAACACCCUUUUUGUUUGCUGUUAAUUAUUUUUCUACCCAACCAAACCAUGAAAUGUCCCAUAACUUUAAUUUAAAAAUUGUAAAAUUUUACUUUUCAACCUAUAAUCACUGUAGUUCACUAAUUAUAAAAAUGAUUUCCACAAAUUUUAGAAUAAAGAACCAGUGAGGCCCACACAUAGGUUAGAACAUAAAAGUAAAAUUCUAAAAUAAUAGUUGCUGUUUAAAAUGAGUUAAAUUAAAAGCUAUAAAAAAGAAGCUGUAUAACUGCUACCUAACUAUUCUGCCUUUACAGUGGAAUUAGAAGCAGGACAUAAACUUAUUUCUAAAGCUCAUCAUCCUUCCACAUUUUUCUUGGUAGGAAGGAGGAGGAGGGCCGAGCGUGGUGGCACAUGCCUUUAAUCCCAGCACUCGGGAGGCAGAGGCAGGCGGAUUUCUGAGUUCGAGGUCAGCCUGGUCUACAGAGUGAGUUUCAGGACAGCCAGGGCUACACAGAGAAACUCUGUCUCG